This is a long non-coding RNA of Capra hircus (goat), 3405 nucleotides long. The record is from Ensembl. NCBI's taxonomy places the organism in Eukaryota, Metazoa, Chordata, Mammalia, Artiodactyla, Bovidae.
AGAAUUGUUAUAAUCAGACCAAAGAUUGCUCCAGCUUAUUUGAUUGUCUGCCAAAUGAAUACCAGGUGUGUGCCUUCUGGAUGGAACAGACCAGGCUCUCAAAGCGCAUAUACAUAGACAAAAUGCAGAAGAUCUAGGCCAUUUACAUCUCGGACACCUGAAGACAAAUGGAGCAAGUUCCCUGGAAGAGCUUUGCUUUUUUAAGGUCCUUGAUUUUGGAGCAGCAAGAGUUCCAAGUGUGCCUGUUAUUCCUUCUGUCCCGCCUAGGCAACAGUCCUUCUCUUGCCCUGGAUUCUCCACCUCUCACGCAGCCGCUGAGUUCACAUCCUGGGGUCUGCUCCCCUGGGGCCUCCCCCGCUCGCGUCACAGUCACCCAGUCUCCAGUGCUCUCCCUUCCUUCCUGCAGAGCUGAGUUUCUGCUACAGCCUGAAAAGUCUUCUUUUAACAUUUUUUGUAGAACAGAUUUGAUGGUAGUAAAUUCUCAGCAUCUGUUCAUCUUGAAGUAUUUUUACUCUGCUUUCAUUUGGGAGGGCUGCUUUUCUGGAUAGACGAUUCACAGGUGACAGCCUUCUCCCUUCAGCAUUUUAUCCAUGUUGCCUUGCCUUCUGCCUUGCACUGUCUCUGGUGAGCACGUGAAAGUGUGAGUCGCUCAGUCGUGUCUGACUCUCUGCAACCCCGUGGACCAUAGCUCGCCAGGUCCCUCUGCCCAUGGGAUUCUCCGGGCAAGAAUACUGGAGUGAGUUGCCGUGCCCUUCUCCAGGGGAUCUUCCCAACCCAGGGAUCGAACCCAGGUCUCCCACAUUGCUGCAAGAUUCUUUACUGUCCAAGCCACUAGACAGUUCACGGGUGACGCCUUUUUCUUUUCAGCACUUUAUCAAGGCUGUCCCAUUGUCUUCUGCCUUACGUUGUUUCUGUUCGAAAUGUGUCUUUGUCUCUCCUUCUGGCUACUUUUAAAGAUUUUUCUUUUUGCAUUGGUUUGAACAUUGGAGUAGAAUGUGCCUGUAGUCUUUAUUCUUCUUUGUUUCUUCUUAUUUUUAAAAAUAUUGCUUAGGAUUAGCUGAGCUUUUUGUUUUGGUAGCUUUGUGUUUUUUUAUUCUUGGCUUCCCAGGUAGCUCAGCAGUAAAGAAUCCUCCUACCAAUACUUGAGGAGACUCAAGUUUGAUCUCUGGGUGGGAACGAUGCCCUGGAGAAGCAAAUGGCAACCCACUGCAGUAUUCCUGUCUGGGAAAUCCCAGAGAGAGUGGCCUGGCAGGCUACAGGCCAUGGGGUUACAAAAGAGUUGGAUAUGACUUAGCCACUAAACAACAGCAACAGUUUUUUCUUAGCCUUUUUUUUUCUAAAAAGCUUUUUGUCCUCAUUCUUCCUUUUCUUCUGCAAACCUGUCCGCAGGUGUGCUUGCCUGGCUGCCGUUUCCGCGGGGCCACUCGCUGGCAGAAUCCCCGUGGCUCCCAGGGCUGCGCUGCUCUGCAGGCUGUGCUCAGCUCAUCGCUCGCACGCUUCUUUCUUCCAAGCUUUUGGAGUCUUGUCCUCACAUGCAUAGCCUAGUAUUCAGUUUAUGACUGCUGGAAAUGCCUGGAACUUUAUGGAGCUCCUUCUCUGCAUAGCUCCCUCCUCUCCAAUACUCUGUCCUGCAAACCCAAGUCCCCUCAGCAGCCUUGACAUCUGAUCUCUCCUCAGGUCAGCAAGAUCCCCAAGGUCUGCUUGGGCUGCACCCCACUUGCACUGCAGUCUGGACAGUGACUCCAGGCAGAAAGCCAGGGCUAUUGUGUGGCCUGCUUUGGAAUUCUCCUUCUCCCAGGGACUAUAACCCAGUGCUGCCUGUUGUCCAAUAUCUGAACAUAUUUGUGUAAAAUUUUUUUCCAGUUUUCUGUUUAUGUCAGUAGUGCUAAUUCAAUACGAGUUACUCUAUCAUGACCAGCAGUGAACACUGAGUAAUUAGAUGGUAUGUUCAGUCACUCAGGCAUAUCCGACUCUUUGCGACCCCAUGGACUGCAGCACACCAGGCCUCCCUGUCCAUCACAACUCCAGAAGCUCACUCAAACUCAUGUCCAUCGAGUCAGUGAUGCCAUCCAACCAUCUCAUCCUCUGUCGUCCCCUUCUCCUCCUGGAACCUCAUGGAGCUCCUUCUCUGCAUAGCUCCCUCUUCUCCAGUACCCCGUCCUGCACACCUAAGUCUUCGUGCAUAGAGGAAAACAGUAGAAUUGGAGAGACGAGAGAUGGACGUUAGAAGGUAAUAUUAUGAAAGAAAUAAUGGAAGCACUUCCCUGGAGGUCCAGUUGUUAAGAUUGCAUGCUUCCAGUACAGAGUAGUGGGUUCAAUCCCUGGUUGGGGAACUGAGAUCUCACAUACCUUUUGGUUUGAUCAAAAGAGGGGAAAAAUAGAGUAAAAUGAGCAUUAAAAAAUGAAUAAAUGGAACACAGUGAGGAGGCUGGCUAAUGCUGGGUGAGGGAGGCACGGAGCUGAGUCAUCGACCAGAAAGCAGGCAUUACCGCUCAGCGUGAUGAGUAUAAGUGGGGAAUAUAUUGAGCAUCUGAAGAGGCAGGGUCACCUAAAACCAUCCAGGGGUGUCUGGGAAGACUGCACGGAGGAAGUCAUAUCUUGCUAAAGAGCUGAAGGAUCAGUAGGAGCUAACUGGUUGAUGGGAUAGGAGUGAGAGCGCUGACGUGUGUUUCAAGAUACCGGAAACAGGAUAUUUUAAAGACUCAGGGAGAGGCUCAGAGCACACACUGAGUUUGGCAGAAUAUAAGUUUUUUUUUUUUUGGGGUGGAAUUAUACUGCGUGAUUAAUCAGAGACCCAAGUCAUGGAGGGCCUUGCGUGCCGUAUUGAGACGUCUUCACGUUAUCCUAUGGCCUUGAAAAGCUAUUAAAGGAUUUUAAGCAAUUGUGAAACUUGAUCGUAACCUCUGAAUCUCCAUUUCCCUGACUAUAGAAUGAGCAUGUUGGAAACAAUGGCAUCGAUUGUCUCUAAUAAAUGAGUCUACUUUUUACAUGAGGAUUCAAGUCUGUAUCUGUAUCAAAAGCCAGUGUCAAAUGCCUAAUAUAAGAGGUCCUUGAAAAGAUAAUGCUUUUCAAACGAUGUUUUGGACCACAUAUUUUUCUGAGAGAUAAAGUGAUCUCAACAUAAUAAAGGAAAUUGAUGGUGAAACUCCAAAAACAUAAAACCUUUGAUUUCUCAAUUAUCACCAUUAAAAGAUACAAAAGAUUGACAUAUAAUAGAAGGUAGUCAAUUGCAUUAUAAUAUUUAUCAGUACAUAAAAAAAUCUAGACAAUGAAUAAAAUGUUAAUAUUGAAGGUUUAGUAGAAUCAUAAAACAGAGGAGAGGAGCAGAAUGAGAAGAAAGGCUGCAGACAAGUCUCUAUUUCCAUGCCAGAUGGGGCUCAAAGGAAAAAGGUUGCUUUUUAUUUA